This 65-nucleotide transfer RNA is filed under the name Jatropha curcas. It matches the Rfam family "tRNA", at positions 5 to 66 of the family's 71-position model. Rfam says of the family: Transfer RNA (tRNA) molecules are approximately 80 nucleotides in length. Their secondary structure includes four short double-helical elements and three loops (D, anti-codon, and T loops). Lineage: Eukaryota; Viridiplantae; Streptophyta; Magnoliopsida; Malpighiales; Euphorbiaceae. The record is from Rfam by way of RNAcentral.
CCGUAACUCAAUUGAUUAGAGCGUUGGUCUUAUGAGCCGAAGGUUGUGGGUUCGAGUCCUUUUGG